RNAcentral lists this small RNA (2012 nucleotides) under Cryptococcus neoformans H99. RNAcentral describes it as "Cryptococcus neoformans var. grubii H99 hypothetical RNA". The record is from RNAcentral. Lineage: Eukaryota; Fungi; Basidiomycota; Tremellomycetes; Tremellales; Cryptococcaceae.
AGCUUGUUCUUCAAACGCCGUUAAACGUUUCUUGUCCUGCACUUUCAUCAGACGCUCCUCUUAUCUGAACGAACUUCGGCCCUACCUCUUUCAUACCCGUUAACACUGUUUGGACAUCUGGCUUAAUAGUCUCGAGCAACUGCCACAUCCAGUCGUACCACAUCUCUUUCGCCUUUAAAUAUUCUUGAAUUACAGGGGGACUGUCAAUAUCACAUCGUGCAGAGACGGCAGCGAGCUCUUCAUCGCCAGUCUGGAUAUCUUGAAAGAGUUUAUUUGAGGCCCAAGUAUACAUGUUGAGGAAGAUGCUGUUGACCUGCGCUUCUGUGUACUCGUGAAGAGCGAAGUCCCUCUCUGAGUUCGAUCGUCAGUAGAUGAAUAUCAACGCGCAAUCGACAUACCAUUCGCAUAGGACUGUCCCAAGAUCUCCUUGGCAACAUUACUUCUCUUCCGAUUCAACCCAGACAGCCCUUCCAUAAACUGCACACCAGCAAUCUCCAAGAACGCCGCCAGAGAUAUGUCCUGAGGUUGCUCAUGUAUAUGUCGCUGGAGCUCAGUAAUAUUAUCUUCGUUUCGUUCCUCAGUCUCCUGUUGUGGAGGGGCCACAGGUCGCUGGGGCGGUAAAGAAAGACGCAUCUCUGUGCCGAGGGACGAUCGACGAGCGGAUAUAACAGUUGCGUGAGGAGGAUCAGACGGAGGUGUGGUGCUCUGAACGACAAGGGCAGGAGGUUCUACUUCCUCUGAUUUAGUAAAAGGUAAGAUAUGGUGGGGAGUACCAAACACUUCUUCCGCCGCUGCUUCGAUUCUAGUCUUCUUCAUACUUCCCUCCGUCUCUUGGAUAUCCUCCCUAACACGUUUCUUGCCUCCACUUGAGGUAACAGAGCCAAAGCUCAACCGCUUUGCCACCUCGGCAGCAGUCUGAAUUCCGCUUUUCCUAGGUGUGGUUGACUUAACUGGACUUGGUGAAGGAGCAAAGACGUUACGUUUGGUCGUUGUAGACUUCUGUGCGGAAGAAACGGUUGGGCGAGCAAAAGAUGGAGUGCCACUGAUAGGCCGCGCGUUAUUGCGGACACUAAGUCCUGGUGAGACAGGAGGUAAACUGAUUAUGCCGCCUGCUGAGGUAAUCAUAUCCAUACCCUCGUCUCCAUCGGUUUGCGCAGGAAAAGCGAUUUGAUGACUAUAUGUAAAAGUCAUAGUCUUGUCAUCGCUCCUCGAGCCCAUGGUAUCCUCGCUUCCAGAACUGAAUGAGACGUCUUGCCCAACAAUGGCCCCAUAUACCUCUGUCUCUUCCAUGGGAUACUCAAUCUCAUGGUCCUCAGCUUGACCAGGCAUCAAAUUUGGGAGAGCUGGACCAUCAGGGUUAGGGAACGAAUAACCGAUAGAGUUUCGGUUUCGAGUUGCUGUAGCUGGAGCUUCAUGAGGUAAGAGACCUCCUACGGCGAUGGUAAAGUCCAUGGUCUUUUCCUCAUCCUCGAGAUGGGAAUGUCCUUGGUCAUUGUCGGACUCGUCUUCAGUGUCGGCGCCGGCAUCUAGCUCAGAAGGUGCGGCGACGGUAGGAGCAAUUGAUGACCGUCGAACGAUUCCACCAUAGAUUUGUUGAGUAAUGUCCAUGUCCUCCUCCUCCAUUUCCAUCAAAUCCUCGCCUUCUGCACUUCCAUCGUGGCUAUACUCUUGUUGUGUCUCGUCUCGCUCGCUCGUGUCGAACCCACUCAACUCCUUAUCAUCUUCAAUCUCCAUCGAUUCUUCGCCUUCAGCUUCCCCUUCUCCUUGGAAGAUGCUCGGAGCAAAUAUGUUAGGCUUUGACACUGAGCCGAUAUCAAGAAUUGAUGAGCGACGGGAGUGAUUCGACUUCACAGAAGGGGUUGAAGUUUCUGUAAAGGAGAAACCGAACGAGGCACGGGGAUUUUUAGUAACUUGACGUUCAAACAUACUGCAAGUUUUUACAUACUUAGCACAUACGAGGCGCGGCAUAUCCAUAGAGUUACUUACCGAACAUGAGCAUUGGGGGCGAAACU